CGAGAGAGAAACAACAAAGAGGAGAGAUUUUUCAUAAGCUUUUUUCAUACAAAAAUCUUGAUUCACAAAGAUCUAACGGUCUAAUUUUCAAUCCGUUUUCGGAAACGUAAUCUUAGCACUCGGAUCUACGUUUCUACCAAUCGUUUUGAAGCUUUGUGUUAUUUGGAGCUUGCCAAGAUUCCCCAAACACCGGGUAUUAUUUGGGUAAAUUUUUGGUAAUGCAUUGUAUGGUGGUGUCUAGGAGACCUAGUGCUUAAUAUCCGCGCAGCCAAUGUUUUGCGGAUAUAUAUAUUGAUUUGUCCACCUAGCUCAUGGGAUGCUAUGAUUGGAGCAUAUCGCGACAGUCAUAAGUCACGGACUCAUGGGUAGUCCGCAUUUAGGGUAUUGUAUUUAUGGCUCGUGUCUUACGUGGCACAUGUAUCCGUUGAGCCUAUAUUUUAGUAUGUAAUUAAUGUAACAUGUUUUAUAAGCCUUAAAUAGAUAGACUUGUAAAUGGCUAUUCUUGUUGAUAACAAUGAUGUAUUAGAUGUAAUUCCGCUAUUGAUAUGUGUUCCGCUGUACAUUGAUAUUUA
This is a long non-coding RNA of Alnus glutinosa, 572 nucleotides long. RefSeq lists it as uncharacterized. The record is from RefSeq and is a predicted model, not a curated record. Lineage: Eukaryota; Viridiplantae; Streptophyta; Magnoliopsida; Fagales; Betulaceae. The transcript has 4 exons.